Molecule: ribosomal RNA, 475 nt
Filed under: uncultured bacterium
Lineage: Bacteria
Description: bacterial SSU rRNA
Rfam family: Bacterial small subunit ribosomal RNA
Source: RNAcentral
UCAGUCGACUCCUACGGGGAGGCAGCAGUGGGGGAAUAUUGCACAAUGGGCGCAAGCCUGAUGCAGCCAUGCCGCGUGUAUGAAGAAGCCUUCGGGUUGUAAAGUACUUUCAGCAGUGAGGAAGGUGGAUAUGUUAAUAGCAUAUUCAUUUGACGUUAGCUGCAGAAGAAGCACCGGCUAACUCCGUGCCAGCAGCCGCGGUAAUACGGAGGGUGCGAGCGUUAAUCGGAAUUACUGGGCGUAAAGCGCAUGCAGGUGGUUUGUUAAGUCAGAUGUGAAAGCCCGGGGCUCAACCUCGGAAUUGCAUUUGAAACUGGCAAACUAGAGUACUGUAGAGGGGGGUAGGAAUUUCAGGUGUAGCGGUGAAAUGCAUAGAGAUCUGAAGGAAUACCGGUGGCGAAGGCGGCCCCCUGGACAGAUACUGACACUCAGAUGCGAAAGCGUGGGGAGCAAACAGGAUUAGAUACCCUGGUAG